RNAcentral lists this long non-coding RNA (231 nucleotides) under Glycine max (soybean). RNAcentral describes it as "long non-coding RNA (GMAX_LNC003106)". The record is from RNAcentral. Lineage: Eukaryota; Viridiplantae; Streptophyta; Magnoliopsida; Fabales; Fabaceae.
CAUUGUGUUGGAUAAGGAUCAGUUUGUAUCCUUCCCCCCUUCAGACCACACAGAGACAUACCAAGAAGAAGGCUGUUUACAAGUUGAGUACAUAGAUGCUUAAGGGCUUAAGGCUUAGUGGCUUACCGUAUUUAAUGUAUUUGGUUGAUCAGGAUUUUCUUUCAAUGAGUAGGUGUGGUGUCUAGAUUAAUCUGUGAUGCUUAAUUGUAUUAACUCUUUGUUUAGUUGUUU